AACGAACGCUGGCGGCAUGCCUAACACAUGCAAGUCGAACGCGUGUAGCAAUACACGAGUGGCGGACGGGUGAGUAACGCGUGGGAACCUGCCCAGUGGUAGGGAAUAACUACGGGAAACUGCAGCUAAUACCCUAUACGCCCUUUGGGGGAAAGAUUCAUCGCCAUUGGAGGGGCCCGCGUCGGAUUAGCUAGUUGGCGGGGUAAUGGCCCACCAAGGCAACGAUCCGUAGCUGGUCUGAGAGGAUGAUCAGCCACACUGGGACUGAGAUACGGCCCAGACUCCUACGGGAGGCAGCAGUGGGGAAUAUUGGACAAUGGGGGAAACCCUGAUCCAGCAAUGCCGCGUGAGUGAAGAAGGCCUUCGGUUGUUAAGUA
RNAcentral lists this ribosomal RNA (377 nucleotides) under uncultured bacterium. RNAcentral describes it as "bacterial SSU rRNA". It matches the Rfam family "Bacterial small subunit ribosomal RNA", at positions 29 to 432 of the family's 1533-position model. The record is from RNAcentral.